GGAAAGUUCUUAUUGGCGCAAGAAAAUAUUUAUUACAGCACAACGAAAAGAAUAAAAUUACAAAGAUGACCAUUUCUCCAGUUGCUCUGGUUCAAGCUUUGCCCUAAAAAUUUUCCAUGCAAUUUUCCAUUAGGCCAUCACAUUUUAAUAUUUGCACUCAUCUCAUUAACCAUGAAAAAAUUUGUAUAUAUGGACUGCCAAUUCAUUUACACGCGAAUGAAAUAUAAAUAACAGAACCCGCCCCAACUGGUCACCCAUUUCUAUUCUGCUUUCACGGACGAUAACCUACUUCACGCCCUUACCAUAGCUGUCUCGCAGGGUCACAGUGCGAUUGAAGACAAGCUUAUCAGGUGUGGAAUCCUUGUCAACCACGAAAUAGCCAAGGCGUUCAAACUGGAAUUUUUCCCCAACAGCAGCCUUUUCAAGUGAUGGUACAGCAUAUGCACUAGACCUCACCACCUUGGACUGGGGGUUCAGAUCAGCAAGCCAAUCAUCAAGUUCAACAGGAUUCUCUGAAUUAAACAGUUUGUCAAACAAUCUGACUUCCACCUUUAGUGGAUCAACCCCUGGGGAAGGUUCAGCAACCCAGUGCAGAACCCCCUUAGGUUUGGUUUUCUUGGAAGCAUCAUAUUCAGCCUGGAUCUCAAUAAUGGUCUCAUUAUCAUCAGCUAGGACUACUUCUGUGCACUUUAUAGGGAAAGCAUACCUGAGUAGGACAGAUUUACCCGGUGCAAGCCCAUAAUAAUCCUUUGAAUCUUUCAUCCGGAAAUCAGAAUGCUCAAUGUAUACAACAUUGGAAAAUGGAACCUUGUAAAAAGCAGAAGCAUCAUCAUUUUGAGCAUCGGGCCAUUUCUUUGCCUCAAGAUCCAUAAUGGAACCAGAUUCUAGGUUGGUAAUGACCACCUUUAAGGGAUGCAGGACAACCAUUGUACGAGAGGCUGUUUUGUUAAAUUCUUCUCUUAUGUGAUACUCAAGACCAAGGCGAUCCAAGCGUAUCAAACUACCAUCACUUCUAGUGAUUCCAAUUCCUCGGACAAAAGCAUUUAUCGCAGUUGAAGUUACACCCCUUCGCCUUAAACCAGCCAGUGUCAUAAGACGGGGAUCAUCCCAACCAUCAACAUACUUUUUUGUCACCAAUAAAUUUAAUUUACGCUUUGACAUCACAGUAUUUGUAACAUUCAACCGGGAAUACUCCCACACAUAAGGCUGAUAAAUGCCCAACGCAUGUAACAACCAGUAAUAUGAUGCACGUCGUGUCUCAAAUUCCAAUGUACACAGCGAAUGAGUGAUAUUCUCAAGAGAGUCCACAAUGCAGUGAGCAUAAUCAUAACUUGGAUAUACACACCAC
Molecule: unclassified non-coding RNA, 1348 nt
Filed under: Hevea brasiliensis (rubber tree)
Lineage: Eukaryota; Viridiplantae; Streptophyta; Magnoliopsida; Malpighiales; Euphorbiaceae
Source: RNAcentral